GACGAACGCUGGCGGCGUGCUUAACACAUGCAAGUCGAACGGAAAGGCCCUGCUGUUGUGGGGUGCUCGAGUGGCGAACGGGUGAGUAACCCGUGAGUAACCUGCCCUUGACUUUGGGAUAACUUCAGGAUACUGGGGGUAAUACCGGAUAGGAGCUCCUGUUGCAUGGUGGGGGUUGGAAAGUUUCGGCGGUUGGGGUUGGAAUCGCGGCUUAUUAGUUUGUUGGUGGGGUAGUGGCUUAUCAAGGCUUUGCCGGGUAGCCGGCCUGAGAGGGUGACCGGCCACAUUGGGACUGAGAUACGGCCCAGACUCCUACGGGAGGCAGCAGUGGGGAAUAUUGCACAAUGGGCGGAAGCCUGAUGCAGCAACGCCGCGUGCGGGAUGACGGCCUUCGGGUUGUAAACCGCUUUCGCCUGUGACGAAGCGUGAGUGACGGUAAUGGGUAAAGAAGCACCGGCUAACUACGUG
This 468-nucleotide ribosomal RNA is filed under the name uncultured bacterium. Its description in RNAcentral is "partial 16S ribosomal RNA". It matches the Rfam family "Bacterial small subunit ribosomal RNA", at positions 28 to 507 of the family's 1533-position model. The record is from RNAcentral.